GAUGAAGAACGUAGUGAAAUGCGAUAAGUAGUGUGAAUUGCAGAAUUCAGUGAAUCAUCGAAUCUUUGAACGCAUCUUGCGCUCCUUGGUAUUCUGAGGAGCAUGCCUGUUUGAGUGUCAUUAAAUUCUCAACUACACUGACUUUGAAUUGGUGUGGCUUGGAUUUGGGGGGAAAAUUGUUGUGGGCUUUUUGUAUAGUCUGCUCCCCUGAAAUUGAUUAGCGGUACCUUUGUGGAACUGUCUACAGGUGUGAUAAUUAUCUACAUCUUAGACAUCUGCUGGAAUGCUGCUUUCUAAACCUUACUUGUAUUGACAAUCUUGACCUCAAAUCAGGUAGGACUACCCGCUGAACUUAAGCAUAUCAAUAAGCGGAGGA
This 376-nucleotide unclassified non-coding RNA is filed under the name soil metagenome. RNAcentral describes it as "partial contains 5.8S ribosomal RNA, internal transcribed spacer 2, and large subunit ribosomal RNA". The stretch from base 1 to 120 matches the Rfam family "5.8S ribosomal RNA", at positions 35 to 154 of the family's 154-position model. The record is from RNAcentral.